RNAcentral lists this transfer RNA (83 nucleotides) under Dothidotthia symphoricarpi CBS 119687. It matches the Rfam family "tRNA". From Rfam's summary of the family: Transfer RNA (tRNA) molecules are approximately 80 nucleotides in length. Their secondary structure includes four short double-helical elements and three loops (D, anti-codon, and T loops). Lineage: Eukaryota; Fungi; Ascomycota; Dothideomycetes; Pleosporales; Dothidotthiaceae. The record is from Rfam by way of RNAcentral.
GGUUCGAUGGUGUAGUUGGUUAUCACGUUCGCCUCACAAUCCGUGUGCGCGAAAGGUCGCGAGUUCGAGCCUCGCUUGAAUCA